AGCUUGGCACAGUGGCAGUAUCAUAACCAAUGAGGUUUAUCCGCAGAAUGAUUAUUGCUAAUUGAAACUUUGUGGUUCCAUAUGAAUUUUAGAACUUUUUUCUAUUUUAGAAGUCAGAUGAAUUUUGAUAGCUUUCAUUUGAAU
Molecule: small nuclear RNA, 144 nt
Organism: Heterocephalus glaber (naked mole-rat)
Lineage: Eukaryota; Metazoa; Chordata; Mammalia; Rodentia; Bathyergidae
Gene: U4
Rfam family: U4 spliceosomal RNA
About the family: U4 small nuclear RNA (U4 snRNA) is a component of the major U2-dependent spliceosome. The structure of U4 snRNA from yeast and human has been reported.
Source: Ensembl